AGGCUCUGCUGGGUGUCUAUAAUACUCAUUUGCAGUAAGGCUUUCAAGAUACAUGAAUUUUUAUAGCAUUUGUAUUUUAAGGAUUUAGGGCAAAUACAUUUUUUUUUUCCUACUUGAUAAAAAGAAAAUUAGUACUUAAAAGGUUCAAAAAUAUAUCAAUUGAGUGAUGGAAUUGGUUUACAGAAUUUCUGAUUUAUAACUCUGAUUCAUUAAAACUGGGACUCCACUUUUUAAAAAUAAAGCUGUUUUUUUUUUUUUUCCCCACCCCGGCCAUGAUUUAACAGACUUCUUUGAGAUGCUCAUUUUAACAUUUACAUAAUUUAUAAUCCCAAAUGUAUAAAAGACAAUGACAAAAGCAUCAUAAAUAAAUAAUGCAAACUGAAAUAGUUAUGUCGAACUUUUGGACCUUCUGAUAAAUUAUAGCAAAACUGUUACAG
This 437-nucleotide long non-coding RNA is filed under the name Bos taurus (domestic cattle). RNAcentral describes it as "long non-coding RNA NONBTAT005704". The record is from RNAcentral. Lineage: Eukaryota; Metazoa; Chordata; Mammalia; Artiodactyla; Bovidae.